This 497-nucleotide ribosomal RNA is filed under the name uncultured bacterium. Its description in RNAcentral is "partial 16S ribosomal RNA". It matches the Rfam family "Bacterial small subunit ribosomal RNA", at positions 28 to 507 of the family's 1533-position model. The record is from RNAcentral.
GAUGAACGCUGGCGGCGUGCCUAAUACAUGCAAGUCGAGCGAACAGAUGAGGAGCUUGCUCCUCUGACGUUAGCGGCGGACGGGUGAGUAACACGUGGAUAACCUACCUAUAAGACUGGGAUAACUUCGGGAAACCGGAGCUAAUACCGGAUAAUAUAUUGAACCGCAUGGUUCAAUAGUGAAAGAGGGUUUUGCUGUCACUUAUAGAUGGAUCCGCGCCGCAUUAGCUAGUUGGUAAGGUAACGGCUUACCAAGGCAACGAUGCGUAGCCGACCUGAGAGGGUGAUCGGCCACACUGGAACUGAGACACGGUCCAGACUCCUACGGGAGGCAGCAGUAGGGAAUCUUCCGCAAUGGGCGAAAGCCUGACGGAGCAACGCCGCGUAAGUGAUGAAGGUCUUCGGAUCGUAAAACUCUGUUAUUAGGGAAGAACAAAUGUGUAAGUAACUAUGCACGUCUUGACGGUACCUAAUCAGAAAGCCACGGCUAACUACGUG